GAGCUCGUAGGCGGUUUGUCGCGUCUGGUGUGAAAACUCAAGGCUCAACCUUGAGCUUGCAUCGGGUACGGGCAGACUAGAGUGUGGUAGGGGUGACUGGAAUUCCUGGUGUAGCGGUGGAAUGCGCAGAUAUCAGGAGGAACACCGAUGGCGAAGGCAGGUCACUGGGCCACUACUGACGCUGAGGAGCGAAAGCAUGGGGAGCGAACAGGAUUAGAUACCCUGGUAGUCCAUGCCGUAAACGUUGGGCACUAGGUGUGGGGCUCAUUCCACGAGUUCCGCGCCGCAGCUAACGCAUUAAGUGCCCCGCCUGGGGAGUACGGCCGCAAGGCUAAAACUCAAAGGAAUUGACGGGGGCCCGCACAAGCGGCGGAGCAUGCGGAUUAAUUCGAUGCAACGCGAAGAACCUUACCAAGGCUUGACAUACACCGGAAUCAUGCAGAGAUGUGUGCGUCUUCGGACUGGUGUACAGGUGGUGCAUGGUUGUCGUCAGCUCGUGUCGUGAGAUGUUGGGUUAAGUCCCGCAACGAGCGCAACCCUCGUCCUAUGUUGCCAGCACGUUAUGGUGGGGACUCAUAGGAGACUGCCGGGGUCAACUCGGAGGAAGGUGGGGAUGACGUCAAAUCAUCAUGCCCCUUAUGUCUUGGGCUUCACGCAUGCUACAAUGGCCGGUACAAAGGGCUGCGAUACCGCGAGGUGGAGCGAAUCCCAAAAAGCCGGUCUCAGUUCGGAUUGGGGUCUGCAACUCGACCCCAUGAA
This 759-nucleotide ribosomal RNA is filed under the name Sanguibacter inulinus. RNAcentral's name for it is "bacterial SSU rRNA". It matches the Rfam family "Bacterial small subunit ribosomal RNA", at positions 565 to 1324 of the family's 1533-position model. The record is from RNAcentral. Lineage: Bacteria; Bacillati; Actinomycetota; Actinomycetes; Micrococcales; Sanguibacteraceae.